Molecule: long non-coding RNA, 179 nt
Filed under: Capra hircus (goat)
Lineage: Eukaryota; Metazoa; Chordata; Mammalia; Artiodactyla; Bovidae
Description: lncRNA (ENSCHIG00010009511.1)
Source: RNAcentral
CCUUUUUUCCCCUCCUUCCCCUAUACUGCCUCUUUCCCCUCCCCUCUCCCCACUGGUAACUAGUUUGUUCUAUCUGCUCAGGAGACAGCCCGCGGCUUAGAGACAGACUGCUUUGAGGACAUUGGAACCGCCGAGGUGCUGAGUAACCCUACUGAGAAAGAAAAAAGAGGAGGCGCUUC